Long non-coding RNA from Papaver somniferum (opium poppy), 423 nucleotides. RefSeq lists it as uncharacterized. The transcript is spliced from 5 exons. NCBI's taxonomy places the organism in Eukaryota, Viridiplantae, Streptophyta, Magnoliopsida, Ranunculales, Papaveraceae. The record is from RefSeq and is a predicted model, not a curated record.
GUUUGAGCGGGAAAAAGAAGGGAAACAGGAAACCCUAGGUAGGGAGCUGCUGUCCCAAGCCAGGUGGAAGCAAGGUUCAAUUGCCUGAAGACAGAAGGAUUAGAAGUUGAGGAAAGCUGUUGAAUCUCUCACGGGAAAAAAUUGGAAGCGAAUAGGUUGGUCCUUGUUACACCUAAAUCUUGUGAGUGCAGCUGCGCAGCUGUGCCCAUCGACGGAACACGUUAUUCAUGGUGGUUUGAAAAAUAAGAAUAGUGUGCAGUAAAGUCUGAAAGACAACUGAGUAAAUCGGUCCCCCGAGAACGCAAAGCUGUUUUCAGCAACGGGAGGGACCUUCUUUUUCUUCUUACUGCUUUCACCCCGAACUGGAUUAAAGGAUCUGACAGGCCUUUUUCUCUCUUUCUUCUGAAACAAAAUUACGUAGAG